Molecule: microRNA, 22 nt
Filed under: Drosophila erecta
Lineage: Eukaryota; Metazoa; Arthropoda; Insecta; Diptera; Drosophilidae
Description: der-miR-9680-3p
Source: miRBase by way of RNAcentral
GAAUUCUGUGAGAAGAGAUUUC